Molecule: long non-coding RNA, 2835 nt
Organism: Anguilla rostrata (American eel)
Lineage: Eukaryota; Metazoa; Chordata; Actinopteri; Anguilliformes; Anguillidae
Exons: 2
Source: RefSeq, a predicted model, not a curated record
GGUUCGAAACAGCCACAAACAUGGCCCUAUGAACCCUAACCCUAACCCUAACCCUAUCCCGAAUCUGGCCCAGGGUUCGAAACAGCCACAAACAUGACCCAGCAGCGGGCAGGGUUUCUCUGCCAGUGUUCCGUCCACUUAACGGCUUCUGUGUUCAGGAUUAAGUGUUCAGUCCACUUAACGGCUGCACCCUGACCAGCUCAGAAUUGUGAAUGGUUGCUGUCGAUACCUCUUGCAAUAAAAAGCAUUUUUGAAUGUUGGGUGUUAGAAUCGGAAUUGAAAUAGAUUUAUACUUUGCUUGAGUGCUCAGGGUUUACAUUAAGAAGCCGAAUGGAAUGUUUUCUAACCAAAUGAACCAGAAAAUCAGGGUAUUUUCAUUGCGGACACAUUGCAGUGAAAGCACGCAGGUUUCAUACUUGUAAUAACCUGUUUUUUUUUUGCAAUCAAAGAAUUUGUACAUUUCAACAUCAGACUUUUUGUACCAUGUGGAAUAUAGUCUUCUCUGAAAUUCAGGCUCUUUUGCAAUGCUGACUCAUGAGUUAUAUGCUUGUAUUUUCUACAAGGAGCUGAACAAAAUGCUUGUUUUAUUUCACUCGUUUUCAUGAAUAUUCAAGGUUUUUUUAUGGCACUUUUUUGGAAAUGAUUUGGGGGUGUACCCAUGACGAGCUCGAUUUUUUCUUUCAAUUAAGUGAAAUUCCAUUCUUCAGCCGAACUGACAAGUUUGAAAUUGACUGGAUUCGCAAAUCUGACUCUACUCAAGCGGUGGCUAGCUCACGCAGUCUCUGAAACAUCGUUUUCAUUUUUGGCUGGACCGCGACAGCGGGGCCAGCCCUAUAAACACGAAUGCCUGUGCCUGACUGACUGACUGAUGAAGGCACGCCAUUGGUCGGCCGGUUCGGUCCAGCCACACGCUAGGUUUUGACCUGGUCUUGUUUUUAACCAGGCUUCUCAUUGCUAGAUGCAGUGAUCUGCGUGACCGCCUCGUCCUCAGACGAAAAUUGAACUUUGUGUGCGUACAUCUUUAUGAAAAGACCUUUAAAUAUGUUACAGUGUAGAGCCGGUAUGUAUGAAUUUUAUUUAUUCUGAAUUCUGUUUUGCUGCAUCCUCAUGUUUCCGUAUCAGAUUUAGGAUGUUGUUUUUUGUUUUUAUAGAAGCAAUGAAAAGGGAAGUGAUGUCAUACAUUUAUAACUUUAUUAAGUGCCCUAAUAAGAUGGCAAAAGCAUAUUAUUUCUCAAAUUCUGUUCUGGCUUUGGUGGCAGACAGCAACAGAACUGUCUUUCACUUUUCUAUUUUUUAUUUUGUAAUUUAGCAAUCGUAUUUUGUUGGAACAGACAAACCACUUAGGGACACCUUUAGAUGGGAUGCAGAAUAUUAUGUAGUUUCACUAGCAAGUGCUUCCUGAGUUUACACAGUUUGUUUUACACAUCAGCAUCAAAGUUUAGUCAGUAAUUAGACCCGAUUUGAUGAUGAUGUAUUUUAUUCAUCCCAUAAUUUUUAUUUUAUUUUAUUUUACACUUUGUGGUCGUCUGCCUAUCCAAUUUGUUUUUCCUGCAUCCAAAACACUAGACACAGGAGACAGUUGUGCAUUGCCUGCCACAGUUGGCAGAACUGGCACAGUGUGGAUUUGAGGGGCCCUACAUGCACCGGAAGUGUGUAUUUGAGGGCCCCUCCAUGCACUGGCACAGUGUGUAUUUGAGGGCCCCUCCAUGCACUGGCACAGUGUGUAUUUGAGGGCCCCUCCAUGCACUGGCUCAGUGUGGAUUUGAGGGCCCCUCCAUGCACCGGAAUUGUGUAUUUGAGGUCCCCUCCGUGCACUGGCACAGUGUGGAUUUGAGGCCCCCUGUAUGGACUGGCAUAGUGUGAAUUUGAGGGCCCCUCUAUGCACCGGAAGUGUGGACUUGAGGGCCCCUCCAUGCACUGACACAGUGACUUAUCACGAUGAAGAACACUGCAGCCCAAAACUCUAACUUCAAAACUAUUGGGAAACAAAGCCCCUUGACUCAUUUUGUCUGCUCCAUUCAAACCACGCAAUGACCUUAUUUGGUUUCAUACAUUGUUUACUAAUGGUGGUAUGAUCUGUUUGUAGGGCAGGAUGCCGUUUCUCACGGUCACAGAAUCAAAUAAAGUAACUUGGGUCUGUGCAAGAUUUUUCUUUUCUUUUCUUUUUUUUUUUUUUAAAGCAUUGCUCCACAUUUGCUAAGUGAACAUUUGCCACAUCAGUUUUUUUUUUCUGGGUCAUUUUUCAAUGAUGUUAUUUCAUGAUUCAUGAGUCAGUUUGCCCCUCCAGAUGAUUUUUUACCAGCAAUAAGGGCAGAUGUGGUUUAGAUAGCAUUUGAAGCCUUAAACUACAUCAGUACUCUUUGUAUUUUCGUGUGACCUCCAAUCUCCUUCUGCGGGGGCCUGGUUUUGCAGGUGGUUAAUGUGACUUGCAGGUCAGAUGCAGUGUAUUUGUACGAUACUCUAUGCAAAGAGGAGCGUUGUAUAGCCUGACUGGUGUGGCUGUAUCGUAGUGAGGACGUUCUGUUUUUGGUUCUCUGUACGCUGACUAGGCUGUUUGCUGAAUAACCAGCCUUCCUGCUUGUGUAAAUCAUGAGACCUGAGAACCUAUUUUCUUUUUUUAAUUAUUGUUAUUAUUUUUAGUGCAUGUGGGAUAAAUUAUUUUAUGUGGUAAGCUUUUAAUUUCUUAUUUUGAUAUAUAUCACACUGGGGUUUUCAGGAUCUUGAUGAUAAAGAACCAUUUUGUCUUUUGUUUCCUUGGUUUCAAUAUUGUAAAUAUUGUAUUGUUCUGUGUAUUUUCUUCUACAAAGUAAAGAAAGCCAAAUGCUGUUUUUUUCA